Small nuclear RNA from Loxodonta africana (African savanna elephant), 107 nucleotides. The record is from Ensembl. NCBI's taxonomy places the organism in Eukaryota, Metazoa, Chordata, Mammalia, Proboscidea, Elephantidae.
GUGCUCAAUUUGGCAGCACAUAUACUAAAGUUGGAAUGAUACAGAGAAGAUUGGCAUGGCUCCUGCACAAGGAUAACGUGCAAGUUCGUGACGUAGUUCAGUCACGU